UACAGAGGGUGCGAGCGUUAAUCGGAAUUACUGGGCGUAAAGGGUGCGUAGGUGGUGGCAUAAGUUAGGUGUGAAAGCCCCGGGCUCAACCUGGGAAUUGCAUUGGAAACUGGCGGGCUUGAGUGUGGCAGAGGGGGGUGGAAUUCCACGUGUAGCAGUGAAAUGCGUAGAGAUGUGGAGGAACACCGAUGGCGAAGGCAGCCCCCUGGGCUAACACUGACGCUCAGGCACGAAAGCGUGGGGAGCAAACAGG
Molecule: ribosomal RNA, 253 nt
Filed under: uncultured bacterium
Lineage: Bacteria
Description: partial 16S ribosomal RNA
Rfam family: Bacterial small subunit ribosomal RNA
Source: RNAcentral